GGCGCCACUACACUCCAGCCUGGGCGACAGAGCGAGACUCCGUCUCAAAAAAAAAUUUUUUUUUUUGGUAGAUACGGGGUCUUGCUUUGUCACCCAGGCUGGUCUCAAACUCCUGAGCUCGAGUGCUCCUUCUGCCUCAGCCUCCCAAAGUGCUGGGAUUACAGGCGUGGGCUGCUGUGCCCAGCAGGAAUAAUUUCUCAGUGCAUCUCUGAUGGGGAGGCUAAUGAAGAAAGGACACCUGGUUUGAAGGCUUCUCUGUGUCUGUCCGUGGGCGCUACUGAUCUGAGCCAAGCACCAUUCCGCAGGCAUGCCUGAAAUGACUCCCAUGGCUGUCAUGGUGCCAUCUGGAGAGCAUUUGCUCACUGUAAUGGUCCCGUCACACUUGUCUGAUGAGGAUCUGUUGGUUGACUUUGACAGUGAUAAACGAACACAGCCUAUCUGGGUGUUUUUUGCACUUAUAGUUUGGGGGUUUGAAGUACUGGCUAGAAGCUGGCGGGGUGUGUGUGUGCAGGUGUGCGAGUGCAUGUGCAAGUGUGCGUGCAAGUGUGAGUCUGCACUUGUGUGCAAGAGAAUGUGUGUGUGUGUGUGUUUGGAGAUUUGGACUUGAAAAUUCUAGCUCAGGUCUUUGGGGUAGUGUUUGACCUGAACUCUGAAAGGCAGAGGGUCCCAGACUUUCCUGGGAUGAUGGGAACUGGGCACCCCAGAUGAGGCUCGGUUGUGAGUAGGAGCGGGGUGGGCCACCGAAGAGAAGACAGAGUGGGCCUGUAGGGCCAGCCCGAGGUACCCACAGUGGAGGGUCUACAGGCUGAUUUGGGAGGUGGUGGUUUAUACCUGUAGUCACCUUCUAUCUUAGUUAGGAAUUCACCUUCACACUUCCAGAAACUGCCAAGAAGAAUGCCGCCGCUCAGGUUUAUCUGGUAGAAUAAGCUGUUUGAACAAAGAUCUGGAGGUUGCACAAUCCUGUGUCAUUCUGGAUUUAUCUUGGGGUCGGGAGUCAACGAUACUUCUUGUGCUGUCGUUUCUCCGGCCGUGUGAAGUUACCACCUCGUGAGUGGUCAUAAGUUAGCGUGUCUAAAUGCACUUUGAAAUCCUAGGAUGAAAAAGCCAGGCCCUGUCUUUUUUCCUUGUCUAAGCACCAUCCUUGCUUAGGAGAGACACGGCUGUGGCUCUCAGGCUGUGGGGCAAUGUUCUGCUUAUAAUGUUUCAAGAGGUUCAAAGCGUGCAGGCCCCAUGCUCCGUGAGAGCCUUGACCUGGGUCAGCAGGGGCGGCUGGGCUUGACUCGAGAAUUCCCACAGGGCCCGAGGGAAGAGCAGAGCAAGAGGGAGGAGCGCGUGGAGCCCUAUGUGGCCUGCGAUAUUGGGGUGGCGUCCAGGCCCGCCUAGAUGGGGGAGGGAGACAACAGAGCUGCCACCUGCUCACCGCAGACCCAGGGGCCCAGGAGGAGCGGACUAGGACCGGCAGUGCCUUCCAGCCUAGGUCUCCUGCCCCUGGGCUGGAGUUCAUCUUUUAGGCAAAUUUGGAAUAGGAACCUUAAAAAUGCUUUCUUCACUCGUUUAAAUAGUAAUGAUAAGAAUAUGGCUGCAGGGGGCAGCUUAUGCCUGUAAUCCCACCAUUUUGGGAGCUCAAGGCAGGAGUAUUGCUUGAGCCCAGAAGUUUGAGACCAGUCUGGGCAACAUAGUGGAAACUUGUCUCUCCAAAAGCUAAAAGAAAAAGCCGUGCAUGGUGGUAUGCACCUGUAGUCCCAGCUACUUGGGAGGCUGAGGUGGGAGGAUCGCUUGAGUCUGGGAGGUCGAGGCUGCUGUGAGCCAUGAUUGCACCACUGCAUUCCAGCCUGGGUGACAGAGCAAGAUCUUGUCUUAAAAAAAAAAAAAAAAAAAAAGGUGUUGUAUUUUAUCAUUAGAAGGCCAUCCUGUUUAGAAGAGUGGGUUUCUCAUAAGAAAAAAAAGAAAAAGGUUGACCUUGUAAGUAUAUUUUCUUGGGUGAAUUGUGGUGGUGGUAAUGGUUUUAACUGGUGUUAAUUUCAGUUCUUUUAAAAGUUGUGGUAAGAUACAUGCAACAUAAAAUGUGCCCUCUUCCCCAUUUUUAAGUGAACAGUUCAGUGGCAUUAAGCACAUUCAGUUUGCCUGCCACCGUUACCACCAUCCAUCUCCAAAAUUCUCUCCAUUUACAAAACUGAAACUCUGUCCCUAUUAAACACUAGCUCCCCAUUCCCCACUGUGCCGCCCCCCCAAAGCCCCUGGCACCAACCAUUCUACUUCCUGUCUCUGAGUUUGACUAGGGACCUCCUGUAAGUGGAUUUGUACAAUAUUUGUCCUUUUGUGUCUGGCUUCUUCAUGUAGUAUAAUGUCUUCAAGGUUCAUUCAUGUUGUAGUCAGGAUCACCUUCCUUUUAAAGGUUGAACGAUAUCCCGUUGUAUGGACAGACCACAUUUUAUCCAUUCACCCAGGGAUGGACACCUGGGUUGCUUCCAUCUCUCGGCUCUUGUGAAUAAUGCUGCUGUGAACACGGGUGUGCAGAUACCUGUUCAAGUCCCUGCUGUUUUCUUUUGAGACGGAGUCUCGCUCUGUCUCCCAGGCUGGAGUGCGGUGGCACCAUCUCAGCUCACUGCAAGCUCCGCCUCCCAGGUUCAGGCCAUUCUCCUGCCUCAGCCUCCCGAGUAGCUGGGACUACAGGUGCCCACCACCACGCCUGGCUAAUUUUUUGUAUUUUUAGUAGAGACGGAGUUUCACCAUGUUAGCCAGGAUGCUCUGGAUCUCCUGACCUCGUGAUCCACCCACCUCGGCCUCCCAAACUGCUGGGAUUACAGGCAUGAGACACCACGCCCCGCCGAGUCCCUGCUUUUAAUUCUUUGGGGCAGGGAUCCCCAACCCCCUGGUGAUGGACCAAUACUGGCCUGCGGCCCCUUAGGAACUGGACUGCACAGCAGGAGAUGGCAUGGGAAAGUAGCACACAGUCGGGACUCUGCAGCCGAGUUUGCCUCCUUGAAUGCACACAUAACACAGGAACAAAGACAGAGCUGCUUCCCUCCUGUUGGGUCUCUGGCGGACAGUCAGGUAUGCUGAGGGAGACACUGUUCUCAAACUCCAGGCCAGGGUGGUUUCCGGAGGGUCCACCGGUGGUCUCAUCUCUUCUCUCUCAAACCAUGGAUGGUGCCUUUUAAAGAAAAUGACACCGGCCAGGUGCGGUGGCUCAUGGCUGUAAUCCCAGCACUUUGGGAGGCCGAGGCGGGUGGAUCACCUGAGGUCGGAAGUUCAACACCAGCCUGGCCAACAUGGUGAAACCCCGUCUCUAUUAAAAAUACAAAAAUUAGGCCGGGCGCGGUGGCUCACGCCUGUAAUCCCAGCACUUUGGGAGGCCGAGGCGG
RNAcentral lists this long non-coding RNA (3365 nucleotides) under Homo sapiens (human). Its description in RNAcentral is "non-protein coding lnc-CHST12-1:3". Lineage: Eukaryota; Metazoa; Chordata; Mammalia; Primates; Hominidae. The record is from RNAcentral.